GCAAAGAAAAGAUGAACGGAGGGCUGAGGCGAAGGGAGGAGACAUGACAUUUACAUACUUGGGAGAGAGAGCAUAAGAUGCUCACCCUUCAGUGAUGGUGAAGUAUAUACUUAUCCUCAUAAACACGGUGACAGAUGG
This is a non-coding RNA of Caenorhabditis elegans, 138 nucleotides long. The record is from Ensembl. NCBI's taxonomy places the organism in Eukaryota, Metazoa, Nematoda, Chromadorea, Rhabditida, Rhabditidae.